UAGUGAGGAGGUUGGCUUGAAGGAUGGGUCAAACUAACACAGAACUUCCACCCAGGAGACCGCUGUUUGUGUCCCGUAUGAAACCAAAACAGAUUCAAACACAA
Molecule: long non-coding RNA, 104 nt
Organism: Sebastes umbrosus (honeycomb rockfish)
Lineage: Eukaryota; Metazoa; Chordata; Actinopteri; Perciformes; Sebastidae
Exons: 3
Source: RefSeq, a predicted model, not a curated record